This 497-nucleotide ribosomal RNA is filed under the name uncultured bacterium. RNAcentral describes it as "partial 16S ribosomal RNA". It matches the Rfam family "Bacterial small subunit ribosomal RNA", at positions 28 to 507 of the family's 1533-position model. The record is from RNAcentral.
GAUGAACGCUGGCGGCGUGCCUAAUACAUGCAAGUCGAGCGAACAGACGAGGAGCUUGCUCCUCUGACGUUAGCGGCGGACGGGUGAGUAACACGUGGAUAACCUACCUAUAAGACUGGGAUAACUUCGGGAAACCGGAGCUAAUACCGGAUAAUAUAUUGAACCGCAUGGUUCAAUAGUGAAAGACGGUUUUGCUGUCACUUAUAGAUGGAUCCGCGCCGCAUUAGCUAGUUGGUAAGGUAACGGCUUACCAAGGCAACGAUGCGUAGCCGACCUGAGAGGGUGAUCGGCCACACUGGAACUGAGACACGGUCCAGACUCCUACGGGAGGCAGCAGUAGGGAAUCUUCCGCAAUGGGCGAAAGCCUGCCGGAGCACCGCCGCGUGAGUGAUGAAGGUCUUCGGAUCGUAAAACUCUGUUAUUAGGGAAGAACAAAUGUGUAAGUACCUAUGCACGUCUUGACGGUACCUAAUCAGAAAGCCACGGCUAACUACGUG